This 497-nucleotide ribosomal RNA is filed under the name uncultured bacterium. RNAcentral describes it as "partial 16S ribosomal RNA". It matches the Rfam family "Bacterial small subunit ribosomal RNA", at positions 28 to 507 of the family's 1533-position model. The record is from RNAcentral.
GAUGAACGCUGGCGGCGUGCCUAAUACAUGCAAGUCGAGCGAACAGAUAAGGAGCUUGCUCCUUUGACGUUAGCGGCGGACGGGUGAGUAACACGUGGGUAACCUACCUAUAAGACUGGAAUAACUCCGGGAAACCGGGGCUAAUGCAGGAUAACAUGUUGAACCGCAUGGUUCUACAGUGAAAGGCGGCUUUGCUGUCACUUAUAGAUGGACCCGCGCCGUAUUAGCUAGUUGGUGAGGUAACGGCUCACCAAGGCAACGAUACGUAGCCGACCUGAGAGGGUGAUCGGCCACACUGGAACUGAGACACGGUCCAGACUCCUGCGGGAGGCAGCAGUAGGGAAUCUUCCGCAAUGGGCGAAAGCCUGACGGAGCAACGCCGCGUGAGUGAUGAAGGUCUUCGGAUCGUAAAACUCUGUUAUUAGGGAAGAACAAAUGCGUAAGUAACUGUGCGCGUCUUGACGGUACCUAAUCAGAAAGCCACGGCUAACUACGUG